GACGAACGCUGGCGGCGUGCUUAACACAUGCAAGUCGAACGGAAAGGCCCUGCUUUUGUGGGGUGCUCGAGUGGCGAACGGGUGAGUAACACGUGAGUAACCUGCCCCUGACUUUGGGAUAACUUCAGGAAACUGGGGCUAAUACCGGAUAGGAGCUCCUGCUGCAUGGUGGGGGUUGGAAAGUUUCGGCGGUUGGGGAUGGACUCGCGGCUUAUCAGCUUGUUGGUGGGGUAGUGGCUUACCAAGGUUUUGACGGGUAGCCGGCCUGAGAGGGUGACCGGCCACAUUGGGACUAAGAUACGGCCCAGACUGCUACGGGAGGCAGCAGUGGGGAGUAUUGCGCAGUGGGCGGGAGCCUGAUGCAGCAACGCCGCGUGCGGGAUGACGGCCUUCGGGUUGUAAACCGCUUUCUCCUGUGAUGAAGCGUGAGUGACGGUAAUGGGUAAAAAAGCACCGGCUAACUACGUG
This 468-nucleotide ribosomal RNA is filed under the name uncultured bacterium. Its description in RNAcentral is "partial 16S ribosomal RNA". It matches the Rfam family "Bacterial small subunit ribosomal RNA", at positions 28 to 507 of the family's 1533-position model. The record is from RNAcentral.